GAUGAACGCUGGCGGCGUGCCUAAUACAUGCAAGUCGAGCGAACAGACGAUGAUCUUGCUCCUCUGACGUUAGCGGCGGACGGGUGAGUAACACGUGGAUAACCCACCUAUAAUACUGGGAUAACUUCGGGAAACCGGAUCUAAUACCGGAGAAUAUAUUGAACCGCAUGGUUCAAUAGUGAAAGACGGUUUUGCUGUCACUUAUAGAUGGAUCUCGGCCGCAUUAGCUAGUUGGUCAGGUAACGGCCUACCAAGGCAACGAUGCGUAGCCGAACUGAGAGGGGGGUUGGCCACCUUGGAACGUGACCAGCCUCCAUGCUCCUACGGGACGGCGCAGACGGGUACCUUCGGCAGUGGGGGGAAGUCUUACAGAGCAAGCGCGAGCCUGUGGAGGAGGCCCUCGGUGCGGAAAGCCCGGUUUUUAGGGAAGAACAGCUGUGUACGUAACUAUGCACGUAUUGACGGUACCUAAUCAGAAAGCCACGGCUAACUACGUG
RNAcentral lists this ribosomal RNA (497 nucleotides) under uncultured bacterium. Its description in RNAcentral is "partial 16S ribosomal RNA". It matches the Rfam family "Bacterial small subunit ribosomal RNA", at positions 28 to 507 of the family's 1533-position model. The record is from RNAcentral.